GAUGAACGCUGGCGGCGUGCCUAAUACAUGCAAGUCGAGCGAACGGACGAGAAGCUUGCUUCUCUGAUGUUAGCGGCGGACGGGGGAGUAACACGUGGAUAACCUACCUAUAAGACUGGGAUAACUUCGGGAAACCGGAGCUAAUACCGGAUAAUAUUUUGAACCGCAUGGUUCAAAAGUGAAAGACGGUCUUGCUGUCACUUAUAGAUGGAUCCGCGCUGCAUUAGCUAGUUGGUAAGGUAACGGCUUACCAAGGCAACGAUGCAUAGCCGACCUGAGAGGGUGAUCGGCCACACUAGAACGGAGACACGGUCCAGACUCCUACGGGGGGCAGCAGUAGGGAAUCUUCCGCAGAGGGCGAAAGCCUGACGGAGCAACGCCGCGUGAGUGAUGAAGGUCUUCGGAUCGUAAAACUCUGUUAUUAGGGAAGAACAUAUGUGUAAGUAACUGUGCACAUCUUGACGGUACCUAAUCAGAAAGCCACGGCUAACUACGUG
This 497-nucleotide ribosomal RNA is filed under the name uncultured bacterium. RNAcentral's name for it is "partial 16S ribosomal RNA". It matches the Rfam family "Bacterial small subunit ribosomal RNA", at positions 28 to 507 of the family's 1533-position model. The record is from RNAcentral.